CCUGGUUUAUUAUCACCCCCUUUUCAAUGCCACUUUUGUUUUUCUCUUUCAAGUAUCAUUUCCAUCCAUAAUGGUCCCACUGGCCCGGAUUUUGCCCAAUAAGAACCGAGAUGAACUGAAUGGCUUUUUUAACGAACUCAUUAGGAAUGUGAUUGCCUUGCGGGACCAGCAAGCUGCCGAAGAGAGGCGGAGAGACUUCCUCCAAAUGGUCCUGGAUGCCCGACAUUCUGCAAGUCCCAUGGGCGUGCAAGACUUUGACAUCGUCAGAGACGUUUUCUCCUCUACUGGGUGCAAGCCGAACCCUCCCCGGCAACACCAGCCCAGACCCAUGGCCAGGCCUUUGACUGUGGAUGAGAUUGUGGGCCAGGCCUUCAUCUUCCUCAUCGCUGGCUAUGAAAUCGUCACCAACACACUUUCUUUUGCCACCUACCUACUGGCCACCAACCCUGACUGCCAAGAGAAGCUUCUGAGAGAGGUGGACCUUUUUAAGGAGAAACACGUG
RNAcentral lists this small RNA (502 nucleotides) under Pongo abelii (Sumatran orangutan). RNAcentral's name for it is "retained intron". The record is from RNAcentral. Lineage: Eukaryota; Metazoa; Chordata; Mammalia; Primates; Hominidae.